GAAUAUUGCGCAAUGGGCGAAAGCCUGACGCAGCAACGCCGCGUGAGUGAUGAAGGCCUUCGGGUUGUAAAGCUCUUUCGGCCGGGAAGAAGGGUUUCGGGGCGAACAGUCCCGGAGCCUGAUGGUACCGGAAGAAGAAGCACCGGCUAACUUCGUGCCAGCAGCCGCGGUAAUACGAAGGGUGCAAGCGUUGUUCGGAAUUAUUGGGCGUAAAGGGUUCGCAGGCGGGAACUUAAGUCAGGUGUGAAAUCCCCGGGCUCAACCCGGGACGUGCAUCUGAAACUGAGUUUCUUGAGUACUGGAGAGGGCAGUGGAAUUGCUGGUGUAGGAGUGACAUCCGUAGAGAUCAGCAGGAACACCGGAGGCGAAGGCGACUGCCUGGCCAGAUACUGACGCUGAGGAACGAAAGCGUGGGGAGCAAACAGG
RNAcentral lists this ribosomal RNA (426 nucleotides) under uncultured bacterium. Its description in RNAcentral is "bacterial SSU rRNA". It matches the Rfam family "Bacterial small subunit ribosomal RNA", at positions 359 to 776 of the family's 1533-position model. The record is from RNAcentral.